GGGGGCGAACAAGACUCGACGCGGGCUGGUGCGGGUAGCGUGCUGCAAGCCGAGCCCCCCGUGACUCGUUAAUCCGCGGGGAACAAGUAAAGGCCAACGAGAGCUACGCUCUAGCCGCCUAGCGCGGCUACGUCCUCCGGACCUCGGCCCGUAGGGUCCGAGCAGGGCGUCACAGAUGCGGGCUCCACCCGGCGGCGGCGCCCGGGACCGCCGGGGACACCGACGGGCUGGCCGCUCCGGGCCGUGCCUUCGAGGGCCCGGUAAGGCGAGACAAGAUCUCGGAGGCUAAGCUUGUAGACGCCGCUAUCGGUGCGCUCGCGGACGCCGGUGCAAUUCCGGCCGCCUCCACCA
Molecule: transfer-messenger RNA, 351 nt
Filed under: Bacillota bacterium
Lineage: Bacteria; Bacillati; Bacillota
Rfam family: transfer-messenger RNA
About the family: Bacterial tmRNA, also known as 10Sa RNA or SsrA, is named for its dual tRNA and mRNA-like properties. Its role is to liberate the mRNA from a stalled ribosome.
Source: RNAcentral